CAGCAGCCACGGGAAAACGGAGGGUGCAAGCGUUAUCCGGAUUUAUUGGGUUUAAAGGGUCCGUAGGCGGAUCUGUAAGUCAGUGGUGAAAUCUCACAGCUUAACUGUGAAACUGCCAUUGAUACUGCAGGUCUUGAGUAAAUUUGAAGUGGCUGGAAUAAGUAGUGUAGCGGUGAAAUGCAUAGAUAUUACUUAGAACACCAAUUGCGAAGGCAGGUCACUAAGAUUUAACUGACGCUGAUGGACGAAAGCGUGGGGAGCGAACAGGAUUAGAUACCCCCGUAGUCCCUGUCUCUUAUCU
This 301-nucleotide ribosomal RNA is filed under the name uncultured bacterium. Its description in RNAcentral is "partial 16S ribosomal RNA". It matches the Rfam family "Bacterial small subunit ribosomal RNA", at positions 509 to 809 of the family's 1533-position model. The record is from RNAcentral.